GCAGCAGAUGGUCAAUUCUUCCAGGCAGCGGAGUUCCCAUGGAGUCGUGGAUUCAGUGUGGCCUGGCAUCGAUGGUGCACCACGUGCUAGCAGGGCCAGUUUCCAUGGGACCUCCACCAUACCCUGGCAAGGAAGAUGGUCACUUCUUCUGGGACACAAAGGCCCCCGGAGUCCUAGAGUCCGGAUGGCCUGGAUCCAUGGUGCACCCCUGCUGGUGGAUGGCUCAGGACGGGGCAGUCUCUUGAGAGUCCUUCUGUGUGCUGGCCCAAUAGAUGGUCAAUUCUUCCAAGCAACAGAGUCCCCAUGGAGUCGUGGAGUCAUCGUGGCCUGGCAUCCAUGGUGCAUCUCAUGCUGGCAUGUGGCUCAAGACAAUGUGCUCGGAUCGAUGAUGAGU
RNAcentral lists this long non-coding RNA (394 nucleotides) under Callithrix jacchus (white-tufted-ear marmoset). RNAcentral describes it as "lncRNA (ENSCJAG00000081588.1)". Lineage: Eukaryota; Metazoa; Chordata; Mammalia; Primates; Cebidae. The record is from RNAcentral.